AGUUUGAUCAUGGCUCAGAUUGAACGCUGGCGGGAUGUUCUACACAUGCAAGUCGAACGGCAGCACGGACUUCUUGGUCUGGUGGCGAGUGGCGAACGGGUGAGUAAUGUAUCGGAACGUGCCUAGUAGCGGGGAUAACUACGCGAAAGCGUAGCUAAUACCGCAUAUUGCCCUUCGGGGGAAAGCGGGGACCUUCGGGCCUCGCAUGCCUUAUUAGAGCGGCCGAUAUCGGAUUAGCUAGUUGGUGGGGUAACGGCUCACCAAGGCGACGAUCCGUAGCUGGUUUGAGAGGACGACCAGCCACUGGGACUGGAGACACGGCCCAGACUCUACGGGAGGCAGCAGUGGGGAAUUUUGGACAAUGGGGAAAACCCUGAUCCAGCCAUCCCGCGUGCGAUGGAAGGCCUUCGGGUUGUAAAGCACUUUUGGCAGGAAAGAAACGGCACGGGAUAAUACCCCGUGCAACUGACGUGCCUGCAGAAUAAGCACCGGUUAACUACGUGCCAGCAGCCGCGGUAAUACGUAGGGUGCAAGCGUUAAUCGGAAUUACCGGGCAAAGCGUGCGCAGGCGGUUCGGAAAGAAAGAUGUGAAAUCCCAGAGCUUAACUUUGGAACUACAUUUUUAAACUACCGAGCUAGAGUGUGUCAGAGGGAGGUGGAAUUCCGCGUGUAGCAGUGAAAUGCGUAGAUAUGCGGAGGAACACCGAUGGAAGGCAGCCUCCCGGGAUAACACUGACGCUCAUGCACGAAAGCGUGGGGAGCAAACAGGAUUAGAUACCCUGGUAGUCCACGCCCCAAACGAUGUCAACUAGCUGUUGGGGCCUUCGGGCCUUGGUAGCGCAGCUAACGCGUGAAGUUGACCGCCCUGGGGAGUACGGUCGCAAGAUUAAAACUCAAAGGAAUUGACGGGGACCCGCACAAGCGGUGGAUGAUGUGGAUUAAUUCGAUGCAACGCGAAAAACCUUACCUACUCCUGACAUGUCUGGAAUCCGAAGAGAUUUGGGAGUGCUCGCAAGAGAACCGGAACACAGGUGCUGCAUGGCUGUCGUCAGCUCGUGGCCGUGAGAUGUUGGGUUAAGUCCCGCAACGAGCGCAACCCUUGUCAUUAUUGCUACGAAAGGCACUCUAAUGAGACUGCCGGUGACAAACCGGAGGAAGGUGGGGAUGACGUCAAGUCCUCAUGGCCCUUAUGGGUAGGGCUUCACACGUCAUACAAUGGUCGGGACAGAGGGUCGCCAACCCGCGAGGGGGAGCUAAUCCCAGAAACCCGAUCAGUCCGGAUCGCAGUCUGCAACUCGACUGCGUGAAGUCGGAAUCGCUAGGCAAUCGCGGAUCAGCAUGUCGCGGUGAAUACGUUCCCGGGUCUUGUACACACCGCCCGUCACACCAUGGGAGUGGGUUUACCAGAAGUAGUUAGCCUAACCGUAAGGAGGGCGAUUACCACGGUAGGAUUCAUGACUGGGGUGAAGUCGUAACAAGGUAG
Molecule: ribosomal RNA, 1483 nt
Filed under: uncultured Bordetella sp.
Lineage: Bacteria; Pseudomonadati; Pseudomonadota; Betaproteobacteria; Burkholderiales; Alcaligenaceae
Description: partial 16S-23S ribosomal RNA intergenic spacer
Rfam family: Bacterial small subunit ribosomal RNA
Source: RNAcentral